RNAcentral lists this ribosomal RNA (410 nucleotides) under Bacillus licheniformis. RNAcentral's name for it is "bacterial SSU rRNA". It matches the Rfam family "Bacterial small subunit ribosomal RNA", at positions 1025 to 1436 of the family's 1533-position model. The record is from RNAcentral. Lineage: Bacteria; Bacillati; Bacillota; Bacilli; Caryophanales; Bacillaceae.
GGCAGAGUGACAGGUGGUGCAUGGUUGUCGUCAGCUCGUGUCGUGAGAUGUUGGGUUAAGUCCCGCAACGAGCGCAACCCUUGAUCUUAGUUGCCAGCAUUCAGUUGGGCACUCUAAGGUGACUGCCGGUGACAAACCGGAGGAAGGUGGGGAUGACGUCAAAUCAUCAUGCCCCUUAUGACCUGGGCUACACACGUGCUACAAUGGGCAGAACAAAGGGCAGCGAAGCCGCGAGGCUAAGCCAAUCCCACAAAUCUGUUCUCAGUUCGGAUCGCAGUCUGCAACUCGACUGCGUGAAGCUGGAAUCGCUAGUAAUCGCGGAUCAGCAUGCCGCGGUGAAUACGUUCCCGGGCCUUGUACACACCGCCCGUCACACCACGAGAGUUUGUAACACCCGAAGUCGGUGAGGU